RNAcentral lists this ribosomal RNA (683 nucleotides) under uncultured Psychrobacter sp. RNAcentral describes it as "bacterial SSU rRNA". It matches the Rfam family "Bacterial small subunit ribosomal RNA", at positions 62 to 738 of the family's 1533-position model. Lineage: Bacteria; Pseudomonadati; Pseudomonadota; Gammaproteobacteria; Moraxellales; Moraxellaceae. The record is from RNAcentral.
UCGAGCGGAAACGAUGAUAGCUUGCUAUCAGGCGUCGAGCGGCGGACGGGUGAGUAAUACUUAGGAAUCUACCUAGUAGUGGGGGAUAGCUCGGGGAAACUCGAAUUAAUACCGCAUACGACCUACGGGAGAAAGGGGGCAACUUGUUGCUCUCGCUAUUAGAUGAGCCUAAGUCGGAUUAGCUAGAUGGUGGGGUAAAGGCCUACCAUGGCGACGAUCUGUAGCUGGUCUGAGAGGAUGAUCAGCCACACCGGGACUGAGACACGGCCCGGACUCCUACGGGAGGCAGCAGUGGGGAAUAUUGGACAAUGGGGGCAACCCUGAUCCAGCCAUGCCGCGUGUGUGAAGAAGGCCUUUUGGUUGUAAAGCACUUUAAGCAGUGAAGAAGACUCCGUGGUUAAUACCCACGGACGGUGACAUUAGCUGUAGAAUAAGCACCGGCUAACUACGUGCCAGCAGCCGCGGUAAUACGUAGGGUGCAAGCGUUAAUCGGAAUUACUGGGCGUAAAGGGUACGCAGGCGGCUAGGAAAGAAGGAUGUGAAAUCCCAGGGCUCAACCUUGGAACUGCAUUCUUAACUGCCUAGCUAGAGUAUGUCAGAGGGGGGUAGAAUUCCACGUGUAGCAGUGAAAUGCGUAGAUAUGUGGAGGAAUACCGAUGGCGAAGGCAGCCCCCUGGGAUAAU